UGUACCUUUAAGAGGGAAUGCUCUAAGGGAGGGGCUGCUAGUUAGGUGACCGGAAGUCACAAGCACGUUAUUCACAUGGAGAGCAUGCAGGAUCGACAGCUUGAUCAGCUCUUCCAUUAAGAUGCAGUUCCACAUCUUCUUGUUUGUUAAAGCAACGUCUUUUCACGAAAUUACCAUUAAACUACAUGAGUAAUCCUCAA
This is a long non-coding RNA of Eleginops maclovinus (Patagonian blennie), 200 nucleotides long. RefSeq lists it as uncharacterized. The transcript has 2 exons. The record is from RefSeq and is a predicted model, not a curated record. NCBI's taxonomy places the organism in Eukaryota, Metazoa, Chordata, Actinopteri, Perciformes, Eleginopidae.